Molecule: ribosomal RNA, 515 nt
Filed under: uncultured bacterium
Lineage: Bacteria
Description: bacterial SSU rRNA
Rfam family: Bacterial small subunit ribosomal RNA
Source: RNAcentral
AGAGUUGAUCCUGGCUCAGGAUGAACGCUAGCUACAGGCUAACACAUGCAAGUCGAGGGGUAGCAGGGUAGCAAUACCGCUGACGACCGGCGCACGGUGAGUAACACGUAUCCAACCUUCCCAUAACUCAGGGAUAGCCUUUCGAAAGAAAGAUUAAUACCUGAUAGUACUUUUUCAAGGCAUCUUGAAAAAAUUAAAGAUUUAUUGGUUAUGGAUGGGGAUGCGUUCCAUUAGAUAGUUGGUGACGGUAACGGCUCACCAAGUCUUCGAUGGAUAGGGGUUCUGAGAGGAAGGUCCCCCACAUUGGUACUGAGACACGGACCAAACUCCUACGGGAGGCAGCAGUGAGGAAUAUUGGUCAAUGGGCGAGAGCCUGAACCAGCCAAGUAGCGUGAAAAGGGUAUGAAGGUCCUAUGGAUUGUAAACUUCUUUUAUAGUAGAAUAAAGUGAGCCACGUGUGGUUUUUUGUAUGUAUACUAUGAAUAAGGAUCGGCUAACUCCGUGCCAGCCGCCGC